AGCCCAAUACAAAUCAUCUUGCUGAAGACGGCGAACUUUUCACCAAUCACCAGUACGAACAGGGAGGCGAAGGCGACGCUCUAGGUCGCUUGCCGCCGCCGCCGAACUCCGCAUGCAUCUGUGGCACCCACCGCUCCCAGCUGGCCCGCUCGUCUGCGACGUCAGUUUGCACCUGCUCCCGCUCCGUCCACGGCAGGGAGUGGGGUGGAAAGACAUGACUUCGCUGUUACUGAAAAUUGCAACAAUGCUGCAGAGUUGGUCUAUUCUAUGCCCUCAGGGAAGGAGACGUUUGCUGGGAAGCUGAGAAAGCUGAAAUCCUUGGCCACAGCCCACAAGACCAAUAAGAAUUUCUGGAUAAACCAAGUGGAGAACAAAUGGGAGAAAUACAUGUUCCAACAAGCCCAGAAUUGGGAAGACAAAGAAAUUCCAGAAAAAGUGAAGGCGAAGCUUGCUGAAAGUCUUUUGGAGGAACGAGACAUUUCAAAGAGGCGUUGGUUUAGUGUGUUAAGUCUGGGAGAGUCCUCAGCUUAGUUGUGUAUGUUGGGAGAAUGAUUGUUGUCAAGGAAAGUCCUUCAAGUAUGGAGCUGUAAUGUUUCUUGCAGCUUUUUCUGGGUUUUUUUGAAUAGGUGAAAAUCCAUCUGUAAGGCCUAGUUUGACAACUCUAUUUUUCUAAGAGAUUUUAAUUUCCUCAACGAAAAAUGACUAAUUUCCCUUGAUAAAAUAAAAAUCCCUUAGAAAAUAGAGUUGUCAAACUAGCCCUAAACUGUAAUCAGAUGUUUUUAUCUUUGCUAAUGCUAAUCCUGGGACAAUGCCCUAAAACU
This is a long non-coding RNA of Zea mays, 821 nucleotides long. RefSeq lists it as uncharacterized. The record is from RefSeq and is a predicted model, not a curated record. The transcript has 2 exons. NCBI's taxonomy places the organism in Eukaryota, Viridiplantae, Streptophyta, Magnoliopsida, Poales, Poaceae.